This 73-nucleotide transfer RNA is filed under the name Ovis aries (sheep). It matches the Rfam family "tRNA". From Rfam's summary of the family: Transfer RNA (tRNA) molecules are approximately 80 nucleotides in length. The record is from Rfam by way of RNAcentral. Lineage: Eukaryota; Metazoa; Chordata; Mammalia; Artiodactyla; Bovidae.
GGCCAUGUGGCCUAAUGGAUAAGGUGUCUGACUCCAGGUCAGAUGAUUGAAGGUUUUAGUCCCUCAUGGGCUU